GAUGAACGCUGGCGGCGCGCCUAACACAUGCAAGUCGAACGGCACCCACCCUCGGGUGGAAGCGAGUGGCGAACGGCUGAGUAACACGUGGAGAACCUGCCCCCUCCCCCGGGAUAGCCGCCCGAAAGGACGGGUAAUACCGGAUACCCCGGGGUGCCGCAUGGCACCCCGGCUAAAGCCCCGACGGGAGGGGAUGGCUCCGCGGCCCAUCAGGUAGACGGCGGGGUGACGGCCCACCGUGCCGACAACGGGUAGCUGGGUUGAGAGACCGACCGGCCAGAUUGGGACUGAGACACGGCCCAGACUCCUACGGGAGGCAGCAGUGGGGAAUCUUGCGCAAUGGGGGGAACCCUGACGCAGCGACGCCGCGUGCGGGACGGAGGCCUUCGGGUCGUAAACCGCUUUCAGCAGGGAAGAGUCAAGACUGUACCUGCAGAAGAAGCCCCGGC
This 449-nucleotide ribosomal RNA is filed under the name uncultured bacterium. RNAcentral describes it as "bacterial SSU rRNA". It matches the Rfam family "Bacterial small subunit ribosomal RNA", at positions 28 to 497 of the family's 1533-position model. The record is from RNAcentral.